UAGGGAAUCUUCGGCAAUGGACGAAAGUCUGACCGAGCAACGCCGCGUGAGUGAAGAAGGUUUUCGGAUCGUAAAACUCCGUUGUUAGAGAAGAACAAGAACGUUAGUAACUGAACGUCCCCUGACGGUAUCUAACCAGAAAGCCACGGCUAACUACGUGCCAGCAGCCGCGGUAAUACGUAGGUGGCAAGCGUUGUCCGGAUUUAUUGGGCGUAAAGCGAGCGCAGGCGGUUUCUUAAGUCUGAUGUGAAAGCCCCCGGCUCAACCGGGGAGGGUCAUUGGAAACUGGGAGACUUGAGUGCAGAAGAGGAGAGUGGAAUUCCAUGUGUGGCGGUGAAAUGCGUAGAUAUAUGGAGGAACACCAGUGGCGAAGGCGGCUCUCUGGUCUGUAACUGACGCUGAGGCUCGAAAGCGUGGGGAGCAAACAGG
Molecule: ribosomal RNA, 429 nt
Filed under: Gemmatimonadota bacterium
Lineage: Bacteria; Pseudomonadati; Gemmatimonadota
Description: Gemmatimonadetes bacterium partial 16S ribosomal RNA
Rfam family: Bacterial small subunit ribosomal RNA
Source: RNAcentral